This 423-nucleotide ribosomal RNA is filed under the name uncultured bacterium. RNAcentral's name for it is "bacterial SSU rRNA". It matches the Rfam family "Bacterial small subunit ribosomal RNA", at positions 355 to 775 of the family's 1533-position model. The record is from RNAcentral.
UGAGGAAUAUUGGUCAAUGGGCGAGAGCCUGAACCAGCCAAUUCGCGUGAAGGAUGACUGCCCUAUGGGUUGUAAACUUCUUUAGUAGGGGAUUAAAGUUUGCCUUGCGAGGCAAUUUGCAAGUACCCUAAGAAUAAGUAUCGGCUAACUCCGUGCCAGCAGCCGCGGUAAUACGGAGGAUACGAGCGUUAUCCGGAUUUAUUGGGUUUAAAGGGUGCGUAGGUUGCUUUUUAAGUCAGUGGUGAAAAGCUGUGGCUCAACCAUAGUCUUGCCGUUGAAACUGAGGAGCUUGAGUGUAGAUGCUGUAGGCGGAACGCGUAGUGUAGCGGUGAAAUGCAUAGAUAUUACCCACAACUCCGAUUGCGAAGGCAGCUUACAAAGUUACAACUGACACUGAAGCACGAGAGCGUGGGUAUCAAACAG